Molecule: non-coding RNA, 72 nt
Organism: Parelaphostrongylus tenuis
Lineage: Eukaryota; Metazoa; Nematoda; Chromadorea; Rhabditida; Metastrongylidae
Source: the annotation of a GenBank genome assembly
GCGUCGGUGGUGCAACGGUUGGCAUACGCUAUCAGAAAGAGUGCGAUCUGGGUUCAAAUCGCGGCUGACGCA